AUAAUUCCUGGAUUUCAAAAAGCAAUACACUCAAAACAACGCCUCAAUAGAAAUUGUAGUACGAAAUGAAUGUGAUAAUAAACCCAUUUAAACGAGUUCGACUAGAGUACAUGGUCUAAUGAAUUGGCUGAAUAGAAAUCAAGGUGGCUUAACAUGAUACAAAACAAUAACAACUAUGAAAUGGGCCAAAGGCUUGUGAGUCAGAUGGACUUAAGUGGAUGAAAUCCAAAGUCCAAAUGGCCCGUAGAAAAUUGGAUGGGCCUGUAUGACUCCCUUGUGAGGUCCUUUUACAAUAUUUGGCUCAAUUUGAGCAUCAAAAGGCGUUAUUACAAAUUUGAAAUUUUUGACAACACAAAAAAAGCUUUGCAAAUCACACUCCAAACUUUAAUUACAGCUAAACAUAACAUUGAAUUAAAAUUGCUAACUAUAGAUUUAGAAACGUAGAGACUCAGCUUUUAAUUUUAAGGGAUUUGGACUUAGUCUACCUAAAUCCAAACUUAUUAAAAGAACAUUUGAUAGAUUGACUAAGAAAACGUGUCAGGCACAAUCAUUCAUUUACAACAAAAAAAGGGCUGGGUUCUGAUGAUUGCUCAUGUAUGGAUUCAAGGAUAAUUUCAACUGAAACAUCUAUUUAUUUACCAUCAAAUCUGAUAGAUUCAGCUAACAACCAAACUUAAACAUAGCCAAAUUCAACAUCUAACAACUGAAAUCACAACUUAACAGCUCAAAGAUUCAGCAUUACAUGAAAGCCUAUACACUAAAUACAUGUCCAUAUCCACUAAUAUGCAAAACAACACAUUGACUGACAAAAAAGGAGGCACAAGUUAAUCAGCUCAUGAAACACCAUUUACUGAAGAAAAACACUGAUUAGUGCAUCAGCCUCAACACACAUACAUCUUCAGAUUCAUUUUCAAUCCAAGGAUUCAAAAGGGGUACCUAGAUUCAGCAAACAAAAGGCACAUAUAUUCGAAAAUCAGCUAAUGGCAGCUAGAAAGCAACAGGUUCAGUAGCAAAGAAAACAGCAAUAACAAUCCACACACAGCUUCUAUAUCAAACCAUGCUUCAGCUUCAGAAACCAGCAAACCCAGAAGACAACAAAUCAUUAACAAAUGAAAUUAAACUAAUUGUUAAUCUAUUAUGAACUAAAAAUAGUUUUAGGCAUAAACUUGAUAUCAGGAGGGGUCAUGGAAAGAGGAAGAAAAGUAUACCGGCCAGUUUGCUAAAAAUUCCGAUGACCCGAAGAAAACCAAAAGCGAGUUGAUUACAAAUCCGGCGAAUAGAGGCCUUGGCUAAUUAUGGAAAUUGUAACAUGAUCAUUGGCCGGAAUUUCUUCAACGGCUAGUGCUUCAUGUUACAAUCCUCAACAUACGCCAAGAGGACGAUGAAGUAGAAGCUCUAAAUAUUUUGGGCCAUUGAUGGUUGCUCGCCCAGAAUCCGGCCACCAUGAACCCAGUUGGGACCAUAUCCAAUCGACUCCUCACAGUAAGGAUAGUCGAUUCAUGCAUGCUCCAACGUCAAGAAGAGGCCAGAUGAGGAAGGAAUUAGAAAAGGAAAAAAAAUGUUAGACUUUCUUUAAUCUCAGAUUUGAAAUUCGGAGAGGUUGGUAAUUUUUUGAGGAAGAUAAUGGUGGAUUUGGAAUGGGGGGACAAUGGAGGUUGUGUGGGCAAGAUUUGAUGGAGUUUGGAGACCAACCGCCGCCGCUGACGAUUUUCGGUGGGUGGCGAACGGCGAUGAGGUAUAAGGGUUAAAGGAGAUGAUGGACAGUGGUCCUAGGUUGUCUCUGAGGGUGUUCGGACAUUUUUAAGAAAAUGGAGUGAGGCUUUCAUGGCCGUUGGAUGAGAGAAG
RNAcentral lists this long non-coding RNA (1845 nucleotides) under Nicotiana tabacum (common tobacco). Its description in RNAcentral is "long non-coding RNA (NTAB_LNC014075)". The record is from RNAcentral. Lineage: Eukaryota; Viridiplantae; Streptophyta; Magnoliopsida; Solanales; Solanaceae.